GAUGUUGGCUUAGAAGCAGCCAUCAUUUAAAGAAAGCGUAAUAGCUCACUGGUCGAGUCGGCCUGCGCGGAAGAUGUAACGGGGCUAAACCAUGCACCGAAGCUGCGGCAGCGACACUGUGUGUUGUUGGGUAGGGGAGCGUUCUGUAAGCCUGUGAAGGUGUGCUGUGAGGCAUGCUGGAGGUAUCAGAAGUGCGAAUGCUGACAUAAGUAACGAUAAAGCGGGUGAAAAGCCCGCUCGCCGGAAGACCAAGGGUUCCUGUCCAACGUUAAUCGGGGCAGGGUGAGUCGACCCCUAAGGCGAGGCCGAAAGGCGUAGUCGAUGGGAAACAGGUUAAUAUUCCUGUACUUGGUGUUACUGCGAAGGGGGGACGGAGAAGGCUAUGUUGGCCGGGCGACGGUUGUCCCGGUUUAAGCGUGUAGGCUGGUUUUCCAGGCAAAUCCGGAAAAUCAAGGCUGAGGCGUGAUGACGAGGCACUACGGUGCUGAAGCAACAAAUGCCCUGCUUCCAGGAAAAGCCUCUAAGCAUCAGGUAACAUCAAAUCGUACCCCAAACCGACACAGGUGGUCAGGUAGAGAAUACCAAGGCGCUUGAGAGAACUCGGGUGAAGGAACUAGGCAAAAUGGUGCCGUAACUUCGGGAGAAGGCACGCUGAUAUGUAGGUGAAGUCCCUCGCGGAUGGAGCUGAAAUCAGUCGAAGAUACCAGCUGGCUGCAACUGUUUAUUAAAAACACAGCACUGUGCAAACACGAAAGUGGACGUAUACGGUGUGACGCCUGCCCGGUGCCGGAAGGUUAAUUGAUGGGGUCAGCGCAAGCGAAGCUCUUGAUCGAAGCCCCGGUAAACGGCGGCCGUAACUAUAACGGUCCUAAGGUAGCGAAAUUCCUUGUCGGGUAAGUUCCGACCUGCACGAAUGGCGUAAUGAUGGCCAGGCUGUCUCCACCCGAGACUCAGUGAAAUUGAACUCGCUGUGAAGAUGCAGUGUACCCGCGGCAAGACGGAAAGACCCCGUGAACCUUUACUAUAGCUUGACACUGAACAUUGAGCCUUGAUGUGUAGGAUAGGUGGGAGGCUUUGAAGUGUGGACGCCAGUCUGCAUGGAGCCGACCUUGAAAUACCACCCUUUAAUGUUUGAUGUUCUAACGUGGACCCGUGAUCCGGGUUGCGGACAGUGUCUGGUGGGUAGUUUGACUGGGGCGGUCUCCUCCUAAAGAGUAACGGAGGAGCACGAAGGUUGGCUAAUCCUGGUCGGACAUCAGGAGGUUAGUGCAAUGGCAUAAGCCAGCUUGACUGCGAGCGUGACGGCGCGAGCAGGUGCGAAAGCAGGUCAUAGUGAUCCGGUGGUUCUGAAUGGAAGGGCCAUCGCUCAACGGAUAAAAGGUACUCCGGGGAUAACAGGCUGAUACCGCCCAAGAGUUCAUAUCGACGGCGGUGUUUGGCACCUCGAUGUCGGCUCAUCACAUCCUGGGGCUGAAGUAGGUCCCAAGGGUAUGGCUGUUCGCCAUUUAAAGUGGUACGCGAGCUGGGUUUAGAACGUCGUGAGACAGUUCGGUCCCUAUCUGCCGUGGGCGCUGGAGAACUGAGGGGGGCUGCUCCUAGUACGAGAGGACCGGAGUGGACGCAUCACUGGUGUUCGGGUUGUCAUGCCAAUGGCACUGCCCGGUAGCUAAAUGCGGAAGAGAUAAGUGCUGAAAGCAUCUAAGCACGAAACUUGCCCCGAGAUGAGUUCUCCCUGACCCUUUAAGGGUCCUGAAGGAACGUUGAAGACGACGACGUUGAUAGGCCGGGUGUGUAAGCGCAGCGAUGCGUUGAGCUAACCGGUACUAAUGAACCGUGAGGCUUAACCUUACAACGCCGAAGGUGUUU
Molecule: ribosomal RNA, 1866 nt
Filed under: Escherichia coli
Lineage: Bacteria; Pseudomonadati; Pseudomonadota; Gammaproteobacteria; Enterobacterales; Enterobacteriaceae
Description: partial 23S ribosomal RNA
Rfam family: Bacterial large subunit ribosomal RNA
Source: RNAcentral